AUUGAACGCUGGCGGAAUGCUUUACACAUGCAAGUCGAGCGGAGCGAGGGUGCUUGCACCUUAGCUUAGCGGCGGACGGGUGAGUAAUGCUUAGGAACCUGCCUAUUAGUGGGGGACAACAUUCCGAAAGGAAUGCUAAUACCGCAUACGCCCUACGGGGGAAAGCAGGGGAUCUUCGGACCUUGCGCUAAUCGAUGAGCCUAAGUCGGAUUAGCUAGUUGGUGGGGUAAAGGCCUACCAAGGCGACGAUCUGUAGCGGGUCUGAGAGGAUGAUCCGCCACACUGGGACUGAGACACGGCCCAGACUCCUACGGGAGGCAGCAGUGGGGAAUAUUGGACAAUGGGCGGAAGCCUGAUCCAGCCAUGCCGCGUGUGUGAAGAAGGCCUUUUGGUUGUAAAGCACUUUAAGCGAGGAGGAGGCUACUCUGAUUAAUACUCAGGGAUAGUGGACGUUACUCGCAGAAUAAGCACCGGCUAACUCUGUGCCAGCCGCCGCCGUAA
RNAcentral lists this ribosomal RNA (501 nucleotides) under uncultured bacterium. RNAcentral's name for it is "partial 16S ribosomal RNA". It matches the Rfam family "Bacterial small subunit ribosomal RNA", at positions 30 to 523 of the family's 1533-position model. The record is from RNAcentral.